RNAcentral lists this ribosomal RNA (492 nucleotides) under uncultured bacterium. Its description in RNAcentral is "partial 16S ribosomal RNA". It matches the Rfam family "Bacterial small subunit ribosomal RNA", at positions 29 to 507 of the family's 1533-position model. The record is from RNAcentral.
AGUGAACGCUGGCGGUAGGCCUAACACAUGCAAGUCGAACGGCAGCACAGUAGGAGCUUGCUCUUACGGGUGGCGAGUGGCGGACGGGUGAGGAAUACAUCGGAAUCUACUUUUUCGUGGGGGAUAGCGUAGGGAAACUUACGCUAAUACCGCAUACGACCUACGGGUGAAAGCAGGGGAUCUUCGGACCUUGCGCGAUUGAAUGAGCCGAUGUCGGAUUAGCUAGUUGGCGGGGUAAAGGCCCACCAAGGCGACGAUCCGUAGCUGGUCUGAGAGGAUGAUCAGCCACACUGGAACUGAGACACGGUCCAGACUCCUACGGGAGGCAGCAGUGGGGAAUAUUGGACAAUGGGCGCAAGCCUGAUCCAGCCAUACCGCGUGGGUGAAGAAGGCCUUCGGGUUGUAAAGCCCUUUUGUUGGGAAAGAAAAGCAGCAGGUUAAUACCCCGCUGUUCUGACGGUACCCAAAGAAUAAGCACCGGCUAACUUCGUG